GGGGAUAAAGCUCAGUAGUAGAGUGCUGGCCUAGCCCUUGUGAGGCACUGGGUUCAAUCCCCAAUAUCACCA
Molecule: transfer RNA, 72 nt
Filed under: Ictidomys tridecemlineatus (thirteen-lined ground squirrel)
Lineage: Eukaryota; Metazoa; Chordata; Mammalia; Rodentia; Sciuridae
Description: Spermophilus tridecemlineatus (thirteen-lined ground squirrel) tRNA
Rfam family: tRNA
About the family: Transfer RNA (tRNA) molecules are approximately 80 nucleotides in length. Their secondary structure includes four short double-helical elements and three loops (D, anti-codon, and T loops).
Source: Rfam by way of RNAcentral